GAUGAACGCUGGCGGCGUGCCUAAUACAUGCAAGUCGAGCGAACAGACGAGGAGCUUGCUCCUCUGACGUUAGCGGCGGACGGGUGAGUAACACGUGGAUAACCUACCUAUAAGACUGGGAUAACUUCGGGAAACCGGAGCUAAUACCGGAUAAUAAAUUGAACCGCAUGGUUCAAUAGUGAAAGACGGUUUUGCUGUCACUCAUAGAUGGAUCCGCGCCGCAUUAGCUAGUUGGUAAGGUAACGGCUUACCAAGGCAACGAUGCGUAGCCGACCUGAGAGGGUGGUCGGCCACACUGGAACUGAGACACGGUCCAGACUCCUACGGGAGGCAGCAGUAGGGAAUCUUCCGCAAUGGGCGAAAGCCUGACGGAGCAACGCCGCGUGAGUGAUGAAGGUCUUCGGAUCGUAAAACUCUGUUAUUAGGGAAGAACAAAUGUGUAAGUAACUAUGCACGUCUUGACGGUACCUAAUCAGAAAGCCACGGCUAACUACGUG
This 497-nucleotide ribosomal RNA is filed under the name uncultured bacterium. RNAcentral describes it as "partial 16S ribosomal RNA". It matches the Rfam family "Bacterial small subunit ribosomal RNA", at positions 28 to 507 of the family's 1533-position model. The record is from RNAcentral.